CGGUAAUUCCAGCUCCAAUAGCGUAUACUAAAGUUGUUGCAGUUAAAAAGCUCGUAGUUGGAUUUCUGCGGGGACGGAGCGGCCGGACGCAACUUGCGUCUCGAGCUAGCGCUUUCCCCGCAUCCUGCCGCGAACCGUGCUACCAUUAGCUUGGUGGCGCUGGGGAUCGGCUCGAUUACUUUGAGAAAAAUAGAGUGUUCAAAGCAGGCCACACGCCUUGAAUAAGUUAGCAUGGAAUAAUGACUAAGGACUUCGGUUCUAUUUUGUUGGUGUUCGGGACUGAAGUAAUGAUUGAUAGGGACAGUUGGGGCGGUCUGUAUUCCAAAGCGAGAGGUGAAAUUCUUAGACCUUCGGAAGACAAACAGCUGCGAAAGCGUUCCGCAAGGAUGUUCCCUUUGAUCAAGAACGAAAGUUGGGGGAUCGAAGACGAUCAGAUACCGUCGUAGUUCCAACCAUAAACGAUGCCGUCUGCGGAUCGGAGGUCGCUCAUGUAAGGCUCCUUCGGCACGCUAUGAGAAAUCAAAGCAUCUGGGUUCCGGGGGGAGUAUGGUCGCAAGGCUGAAACUUAAAGGAAUUGACGGAAGGGCACCACCAGCCGUGGAGCCUGUGGCUUAAUUUGACUCAACACGGGAAAACUUACCAGGUCCAGACAUAGUAAGGAUUGACAGAUUGAUAGCUCUUUCUUGAUUCUGUGGGUGGUGGUGCAUGGCCGUUCUUAGUUGGUGGAGUGAUUUGUCUGGUUAAUUCCGUUAACGAACGAGACCCCAGCCUGCUAAAUAGCGCGGCUGAGCUUUGCUCGGUGCGAGCUUCUUAGAGGGACUAUGAUGCGCGAUAGCACAUGGAAGUUUGGGGCAAUAACAGGUCUGUGAUGCCCUUAGAUGUUCUGGGCCGCACACGGGCUACACUGGCGCCUGCAACGAGCAUAUCAGCUGGCCCGAGAGGGUCUUGGCUAAUCUUUUGAACCGGCGCCGUGCUUGGGAUUGACCAUUGCAAUUGUUGGUCAUGCAACGAGGAAUGCCUUGUAAACGCGAGUCAUCAGCUCGCAUUGAAUACGUCCCUGCCCUUUGUACACACCGCCCGUCGCUCCUACCGAUGAAUGUUCCGAUGAAAUUUUCGGAGAGCGCCAGAGAACGGGGCUCUGCCUUGCAGAUCUGGAGGCUCAAAGUCACUUAAAUCUGAGCAUUUCGAGGAAGGAGAAGUCGUAACAAGGUAGCCG
This 1216-nucleotide ribosomal RNA is filed under the name uncultured Rhizaria. RNAcentral's name for it is "SSU rRNA". It matches the Rfam family "Eukaryotic small subunit ribosomal RNA", at positions 577 to 1805 of the family's 1831-position model. The record is from RNAcentral.